UACAGAGGUGGCAAGCGUUGUUCGGAAUUACUGGGCGUAAAGGGCGCGUAGGCGGCCCUCUUAGUCGGACGUGAAAUCCCCAGGCUUAACUUGGGAACUGCGUCCGAUACUGGAGGGCUCGAGUGCGGGAGAGGGAUGUGGAAUUCCAGGUGUAGCGGUGAAAUGCGUAGAUAUCUGGAGGAACACCGGUGGCGAAGGCGGCAUCCUGGACCGACACUGACGCUGAGUGCGCGGAAAGCUAGGGGAGCAAACGGG
This 255-nucleotide ribosomal RNA is filed under the name uncultured bacterium. RNAcentral's name for it is "partial 16S ribosomal RNA". It matches the Rfam family "Bacterial small subunit ribosomal RNA", at positions 524 to 776 of the family's 1533-position model. The record is from RNAcentral.